Molecule: long non-coding RNA, 288 nt
Filed under: Mytilus galloprovincialis (Mediterranean mussel)
Lineage: Eukaryota; Metazoa; Mollusca; Bivalvia; Mytilida; Mytilidae
Source: RNAcentral
GCACAGAGUGUACCAAUGUUAAGAUCUACAUCUACUGUCCAGGGUUCACCAAGACUAUUUUAUGGAUGAUUUUAACCUAUGUUUUACCCUUUAUGUUGCAAGAAUGGUCAGCAAGUAGAAAGUCUACAAAUAUAAGAAUUUGGGCUGAACUAGUCAGAAGACUUCUUAAGAUCUUAAAGAAAAUCAGUCAAAAUAAUGUUCAGAGUACAAUUGAAACUCUAAUUUUACCAAGUUUUAUGUUAUAAUUUUGAAAACUAUAUACAUGUAAUUAUAUUAUAACUAACAGAU